Pezoporus occidentalis (night parrot) is the source of this 2196-nucleotide long non-coding RNA. RefSeq lists it as uncharacterized. The record is from RefSeq and is a predicted model, not a curated record. The transcript is spliced from 2 exons. Lineage: Eukaryota; Metazoa; Chordata; Aves; Psittaciformes; Psittacidae.
GAGAGCCUCUGCGGCUCCCGGAGCCUCCGGCAUCCCAGCGGCAAGCGCUCGGCGUGGUGGCAGGAAGGUGUUGGUGUGUUUUAGCGUGCCUGUCCCAGCGACCCGUCACCCGACUGUGUUUUCUUGCUCCUUACGCAGCAGAGUCAGGAUUCGCCUCCCUGGCCCGGGUGCACGUCUGUUCGAGCAGCGAGUUGUCUCUUGAAAUGUAUUGCGAUUAACGGGACGGAAUAUUGUUUGCUGUAAGGAUUAGCCCGUCUUUUCUGACUUGCCGUGCGGCCGCACAAAGUUAGGCCAGCACAGCUGAAGGGCUGAGCAGAGCAGGGGACACAGCUGGGCGGGUGUUUACCAGCAUUGCUGCUGAAUGCCUUUCGUUGUGAUGAUGCCACAAUAUCAGUCAUGGAAAUGGAGUCUUCACAUAGCAUAGACAGAAUUUGUGUGUGAUUUAACCCGAAUCUCUGUUUUUGCUGCCUGCUAUCAGAACAUUUGGUCUGGGUAGUUGACUGAGGUGACAUAUAGGUAGGAGAAUAUGUAAAGAAAUCAGCGUUUGUUUACUUUAAUGUAUUCGUCAACAGCCUGCAGCAUUCAUGGUUGAUUCAUGAUGUAUCCCUGAAGUAGAGAUGAUAAUGCCUGUAAAAUUGUUAGGGUAGAAAGCUUAAAGUUAUAAUCUUUUUACCCAGCCCAGCUGAAUCUUCUACUGCAUACGAAUGAGUGCCUUAAUAUGGGGUUCCUCGUACAAGGCAGAGGGAAGUGGUUUUCUCAUCAUACAGCUCAGCUUAAUGCCACUUCUGUUCCCAGGUCAUUAAAUAUUUCGGCCUCUACCGCCUAUACAAGUUUCCCAAAGCUUUAAGAUACUUGAGCUGUAGGAGUGGAUAUAACUUAAGGAAGUAAAAACACGCUCAUGGUACACUUUUCCAUAUGACUAAAGGAAAAAAUAUCAUUCAUCUGGGACCAAAGAAUAACAUCCUACUUUUAGAGUAGGAAAUGUGUCAUGAAUCAGAGACUCUAAACAGGAUUUGAGGAAUAUUUGCAAGAUCUUUGCUUCUUCAUCACCAGAAGUUCCAGUUAGUUCUUGUGGAGAUGGCUGGGACAGCCUCAAAAGAGGAUUGUGAGGUGGGAGGGGGACGUGAGGAGAGCUGCAUGUGAGGUGGCAGUUUUCAGCAGCAGUGAUUUGAGAGAGAUUGCUGGUGGCCUUCUUCCUCCACGCUGGAAGAAGCAGGAUGAAAGGUGUAAGGACUUGUGCUACUUCCACGUAAUACAGAGAGAUCUUCUGAAGUCUAGAGACUGGUUCAUUUCCUUCUGCUACUGAAGAUGGACCUGCUGUAACCUUCACAUUCAGUCAAAUUGGAGAAAUACUGGUUAAUUGUUUUUGCAACAUUCCUGCAGUUGGUGUUGUCAGGACUUGAUGCUGUCUUGUGUUCUAGGAGGAUGAUGGCUCAACAAACAGUCCUAUUGUCACAAAUGCGUAAACAGUUCAGCAAGAAAUGUAACAAAAGCACUGUGCUACAGAAGCAAUAAGCAGCAGGGACAAUAGAAUUUCUUGGGAAGAAAUGUCUUUUUUUAAGGUGAACAUCAUCUGGAGAAUUAAAAAAAGCAGUCUAAAUAGAGAAAUAACUUCUAAAUGUUUUUUUUUUCUGUGAUGCUGCUGCAGGUCUUUGAAGAAUGUUUUAUUAAUAUCCUUGGUGUUUCAGAGAAACAUCUAUCUUGUGCUUUGACCAAAAAUUUACAUAAAUUUCAAUUGCUUGAUCUGAAAGAGUUUUUCCAGCACAAAUGGUGACACUUAGUCUUUUCUGAGCACAGUAGCCACUGGUCAUGAUGGUUUUAGACUUGAGUGCUAUCAUUCUUCUGAUACUCAAUACCUGCAUUUUCUACUGGGCAAUCAAAGCACUGUAUUUCAGUCUCUAACAGAUUUAGCUGAGGAAAGUCCCUCCUUUAAUUUUCUGUUAUACCCCUGUACUGGAGUGUACUAUUUCCGUUUCAGGUCUGGCUCAUCAUGUGGUGCCCCUUGAACCCAGUUUUAUAACUGAACCCACAUAUCGUUCCAUUUGUCUCUGCUGUUGGGCAGUAACUUCUGGCACAAACACGUAAACCUCUUCAGCAAACGCAGCACAAUCUGCAAGUUGUCUGUGAACUGAAGCCCUUUGUUACUCAGACUCUUCCUCAGCAUGUACUAAUAAAAAGAAGCAAUUACACAAGCAA